Dreissena polymorpha is the source of this 677-nucleotide long non-coding RNA. RefSeq lists it as uncharacterized. Lineage: Eukaryota; Metazoa; Mollusca; Bivalvia; Myida; Dreissenidae. The record is from RefSeq and is a predicted model, not a curated record. The transcript has 4 exons.
GGAUCGGUUUUUUCCCCGACUAAAUAUAGAUUUUAAAUAUAAAUUUAAAUAUAAACACGCAUUGUGACAACAACAACAACAACAACAACACAUAUGGCGGAAUCUGUAUUGUCAAACACGGAAGAAGAAGGAUACAACUAUAAUUAAACCAAGAAGUUUAUGAAGAAGGGAUCACUGGAUUUUGUCACUUUGGUACAAGAAACAGAAAAGGAUAUCAUAGACCACCUUACUUAUACGGAAGCAUAGGAGCUGUUGAAGGAAAUUGCUGCAAGACAGUCAGCAGUUAUCACUGACAGCCUGCCCUGGCCCAGCUUGGACCAUCCUCAAACUAACCAUGAUGGUGUGUUUGCAAGAAUUGUCCAUUUGGUAGACCAUGAUGAAGACCAGCUUUGUUGUGGCAUGGCCUGACAAUACUGUACAAGCCAGAGACCAAAAAAGGGUUUAGUGGUGACUGAUCCUCUCACCCUCCUUAUCCAGGAUGCGUUUUGGAACAACGUGGCAAUGAAGAUGUGGAGGACACAGAUUGAUCACAGUACAUCCUUUGGAUACAUGGACACCUUCAACGGGACGACAACAAAACUGUACCUGCCUUUUUAUGAAAGGAAGUAGUUAAUAAAAUUAUUGUUAACAGCUUUUUUAGUCUUGUUGUUUAUGAAUGCUUGCAACAUUUAAGUCGA